CAGCUAAAUUAGGGGACCAGUUCCUCCAAGAAUCCUGUUCGUAUUCACUGAAUACGCCAAAUAUAUGUAAUUGUUUAUAUAAAAGUGUCUACUUAUGUUUUUUAAUACUGAAGAGAAGACCAAGUUCAUUUCCUCAGUCUAAUUUGAGCUAAAGAAACUACCAGACAACUUACACAUCAAAUCUCCUUGAUCUAACGACAAGUAGUGUGUAUAUCAGACGAGAUAACAAGUGAACUGAUUGAAAAACUCAAAUCUCCACUAGGGCAUACAUACACGAUAGCAAUAGUCGUGUAAAGCAUGUAGAAAAACCUGGCUCGCUGGACCAAAAAAUAAAACAUGAACCAGCCAUGAAUAACAAUUCCUAAUACACCUGCAACUGUAGUAAUUGGUAGUUUGGUAACAUUUGGUAUUGAACUCCUCAGCAAAUGUCAUAAACUAGCGGGAGAUUUACUCUGCCAUUGCGUUGAAUACUGCAGAAAACGACAUAACAAGACACCAUGCAGAACUCCAAUGAAUAUGUUACAUCCUCAUGUGCGCUCCUCCACGGCCCCUACCGCCAUAGUUAUUAUACCCCCUUCCCCAACCAUAGCCAUAUGCACCACGGUGCCCACCAUUUCCAGGCCCAUAGCCAUAUGCACCACGGUGCCCACCAUGUCCAGGGCCAUAGCCACCAUUUCCAGGCCCAUAGCCAUAUGCACCACGGUGCCCACCAUGUCCAGGGCCAUAGCCACCAUUUCCAGGCCCAUAGCCACCAGGCCCAGGCCCAUAGCCACCAUUUGCAUAAGGCCUUUGUUGAUGGUUACCGAAAGUCU
Molecule: long non-coding RNA, 812 nt
Filed under: Solanum tuberosum (potato)
Lineage: Eukaryota; Viridiplantae; Streptophyta; Magnoliopsida; Solanales; Solanaceae
Description: long non-coding RNA (STUB_LNC008459)
Source: RNAcentral